GUGUGCUUCAUGCCAUAAGCGUAGAUUAAAGAGUCCUGUCCCCACAGUUACCACCUGAUUCUGCUCAGACUUAUUUUCCUGGAGACAUUACAAAUGUUUGUCACCUUGAAACAGAUGCUUCAUUUAGUCUCCCUGGCAGGAGUCAUUCCCAUCGCUGAGAGGGUUUCCCAUGCAUAUAUAUGCAAUACUGCACCUUCCGUCUGCUGAGCUCAAAAUAUUCUACUGACAUUAAUUACAGCCUCACAACCCUCCAGCAGGCGAGAUAGAUGUUCCUCUGCCUAUCUCCCUCUGUGGAUCGCUCUGGAGUUCUGGCGGCGGAGAGGGGUCCUGACGUCUAGAAUGAGGCAGCACUGCUCAUGCCUGGAGGCAGAAACAAAGGUCAGAGAAUGCCCUGCAACGUGUGUGGUGCUAGCUUUGGAGAACAAUCCAUCCAGCAGACACGGCUGCAGCAGUUGAGUGAAACAAUCUACGCUUCCUUAAAUUAUCCAGACUCCUCUUGACUAACCCUCCCAGCUUCUGCAAGUGCCAUGUAGGACCACUACCAGGUACUGCAGCUCCUCCAGAUGAGCCAACGUCUGACACAGGAAGCUAGCACAAGAGGAUCUGCAGGACAGAAGAGUUUCAACAGUGGCAGAAUCAUUCACAGACUUAUUCAGCAAACCUGGAGAUGGAAAGGAGGAGAGAACUGAGGUUUAGUCUGGAAUGACUGUAGAGAGAAGGUGAGCAUGUGCACUAAAAGCUGAUUGGCAGCUGAAGCCACAAACAGGCUAGGGUCUCCCUGCAGAGUGAAGAUCACAUCUAUGGCUCCUAUGUCAAAGGAAAAACAACAACAACAAAGCCAUGACACUCAAAGAAACAAGAGGUUUGUUGCAGCUUGGAGAAUUCAUUGCAAUCCAAUCAUGUAUCAUCUGACUUCUGAGUAACUCUCACAAAUUAAAAUGUAACGUUUAAAAUGAAAAGAAAAACUUAAUGUUACACAUGAACAGACUGAGAAAAGGCAGUCUAUCCAUCAUUGACCAUAUGGGGGGAAAAAGGAAAUAAAAAUGACAAUGGCUGGUGUUGUAAAAUGUCUAUUUUCCACCUGUAAGAUUAUAGGGGCUGUGAUAGGCAGCUUAUACUCUCCCGCCGACAUAGCGCAGUGCACACUACCACUUAUGCCAUUCAGGAUGUGUUACUGUGGUUUACAGAGAAUGAAUAGAAUCUUCAGGGUGUAGGAACUGACAGCUGGAGGAGGCUGUUAGUUUAGACUGAUAAACUGAUCUGAGUUAAGAUGUUCUGUAUAUGUUAACAGUCUUUAUUAGAUACCUAGUUAAGUUACCAGCCAUUAAAGACUAGUGGAUUAUUUGAAUAUAAAAUACAAAUAGGACUGCCCACAUUGAGUAAAAUCUACAAGCCCAAUUAAAAGUGCAUGGGAACGAAACCUGGGUUAAUUUCCCUAGAGUACAAUAAUCCUGAACUAUUUCCAAUAGACUGCAAAUAAGAAUUUUGGCGGCUUUCUAAUGCACUAUUUUUACUUUGCCUAUUGGGUGUGUGUUUCU
Long non-coding RNA from Mauremys mutica (yellowpond turtle), 1538 nucleotides. RefSeq lists it as uncharacterized. NCBI's taxonomy places the organism in Eukaryota, Metazoa, Chordata, Testudines, Geoemydidae. The transcript has 6 exons. The record is from RefSeq and is a predicted model, not a curated record.